GUAUUUUUCAAAGUAUUCAAAUAUUUUUGCUCAACUCAAAAAUCCUGCUUAAGGGGGGCAGGGCUUGGCCAUCGCACAGAGGUAGGGCUCCCCGCAUACUUCACUCUAAAACCGGCUAACCGACCGACACUGACCUGCAACAGACUUCCCUCCAUACCGGGGAACUCUGAGAAAGCAGCGGGCACAAGCUGGUGCAAUCUUGAUCCAAACUGCGGCAGAUCACAGGUCCGGAGCGACGGAGGCCUAGCACGGUCCCGGCUGGGAGUGGCGGCCGACCUUCACAGCAGGGACUGCCGGCUAUAUCGCGUCCGAAUCCCCCCACACCCCCAGGACCGGUGGGGGUCAUCCCGGUCCACACAACCCAGUGAUGACGUCCCUUAUCUGCCCUAUCCCAG
Pelobates cultripes (western spadefoot toad) is the source of this 395-nucleotide non-coding RNA. The record is from the annotation of a GenBank genome assembly. Lineage: Eukaryota; Metazoa; Chordata; Amphibia; Anura; Pelobatidae.